AGUGAACGCUGGCGGUGGGCCUAACACAUGCAAGUCGAACGGCAGCACAGUAAGAGCUUGCUCUUACGGGUGGCGAGUGGCGGACGGGUGAGGAAUGCAUCGGAAUCUACUUUUUCGUGGGGGAUAACGUAGGGAAACUUACGCUAAUACCGCAUACGACCUACGGGUGAAAGCAGGGGAUCUUCGGACCUUGCGCGAUUGAAUGAGCCGAUGUCGGAUUAGCUAGUUGGCGGGGUAAAGGCCCACCAAGGCGACGAUCCGUAGCUGGUCUGAGAGGAUGAUCAGCCACACUGGAACUGAGACACGGUCCAGACUCCUACGGGAGGCAGCAGUGGGGAAUAUUGGACAAUGGGCGCAAGCCUGAUCCAGCCAUACCGCGUGGGUGAAGAAGGCCUUCGGGUUGUAAAGCCCUUUUGUUGGGAAAGAAAAGCAGCAGGUUAAUACCCCGCUGUUCUGACGGUACCCAAAGAAUAAGCACCGGCUAACUUCGUG
This 492-nucleotide ribosomal RNA is filed under the name uncultured bacterium. RNAcentral's name for it is "partial 16S ribosomal RNA". It matches the Rfam family "Bacterial small subunit ribosomal RNA", at positions 29 to 507 of the family's 1533-position model. The record is from RNAcentral.